AUAUAAAAUGACUCUCGGCAACGGAUAUCUCGGCUCUUGCAUCGAUGAAGAACGUAGCGAAAUGCGAUACUUGGUGUGAAUUGCAGAAUCCCGUGAACCAUCGAGUCUUUGAACGCAAGUUGCGCCUGAAGCCAUUAGGCUGAGGGCACGCCUGCCUGGGUGUCACAC
RNAcentral lists this ribosomal RNA (168 nucleotides) under Aenictophyton reconditum. RNAcentral's name for it is "5.8S ribosomal RNA". It matches the Rfam family "5.8S ribosomal RNA". From Rfam's summary of the family: 5.8S ribosomal RNA (5.8S rRNA) is a component of the large subunit of the eukaryotic ribosome. It is transcribed by RNA polymerase I as part of the 45S precursor that also contains 18S and 28S rRNA. The record is from RNAcentral. Lineage: Eukaryota; Viridiplantae; Streptophyta; Magnoliopsida; Fabales; Fabaceae. RNAcentral also lists the same sequence under 1 other name.